Non-coding RNA from Brachypodium distachyon (stiff brome), 135 nucleotides. NCBI's taxonomy places the organism in Eukaryota, Viridiplantae, Streptophyta, Magnoliopsida, Poales, Poaceae. The record is from Rfam.
AUGAUACUCCCUCCGUCCAACAAAAGAUGUCUCAACUUUGAUUAAAUUUGAAUGCAUCUAUACACUAGUCAUAUCUAGAUACAUCCAAAUUUUGACAAACUUCAGACAUCUUUUGUUGAACGGAGAGAGUAUAUC